This 74-nucleotide transfer RNA is filed under the name Omnitrophica bacterium RIFCSPHIGHO2_02_FULL_45_28. RNAcentral's name for it is "tRNA-Arg". It matches the Rfam family "tRNA". From Rfam's summary of the family: Transfer RNA (tRNA) molecules are approximately 80 nucleotides in length. Their secondary structure includes four short double-helical elements and three loops (D, anti-codon, and T loops). Further hydrogen bonds mediate the characteristic L-shaped molecular structure. tRNAs have two regions of fundamental functional importance: the anti-codon, which is responsible for specific mRNA codon recognition, and the 3' end, to which the tRNAs corresponding amino acid is attached (by aminoacyl-tRNA synthetases). tRNAs cope with the degeneracy of the genetic code in two manners: having more than one tRNA (with a specific anti-codon) for a particular amino acid; and 'wobble' base-pairing, i.e. permitting non-standard base-pairing at the 3rd anti-codon position. The record is from RNAcentral. Lineage: Bacteria; Pseudomonadati; Candidatus Omnitrophota. RNAcentral also lists the same sequence under 3 other names.
GGCCCCGUAGCUCAGUUGGAUAGAGCAUCAGCCUUCUAAGCUGAGGGUCGCGCGUUCGAAUCGCGCCGGGGUCA